Molecule: ribosomal RNA, 675 nt
Filed under: uncultured organism
Description: bacterial SSU rRNA
Rfam family: Bacterial small subunit ribosomal RNA
Source: RNAcentral
UGAAAUGCGUAGAUAUCUAACGGAACGCCUGUGGCGAAAGCGGGUCGCUGGGCCUGUCCUGACGCUGAGACGCGAAAGCGUAGGGAGCAAACGGGAUUAGAUACCCCGGUAGUCUACGCCGUAAACGAUGCGCACUAGGUACAGGAGUCUCUGACGGCGACUGUGCCGAAGCAAAAGUGUUAAGUGCGCCGCCUGGGGAGUACGGCCGCAAGGCUAAAACUCAAAGGAAUUGACGGGGGCUCACACAAGCGGUGGAGCAUGUGGCUCAAUUCGAAGCAACGCGAAGAACCUUACCCGGGUUCAAGCAUUGGGAUGCCUACCUGGAAACAGGUUUUGGUUGCCCUUCGGGGUGAAACAUUGGCCGGUGCUGCAUGGCUGUCGUCAGCUCGUGCUGUGAAGUGUUGGGUUAAGUCCCGUAACGAGCGACACCCUUGUCGUUAGUUGCCAGCGGGUUAUGCCGGGGACUCUAACGAGACUGCCGGUGUCAAACCGGAGGAAGGUGGGGAUGACGUCAAGUCAUCAUGGCCAUUAAGCCAGGGCGGGCACACGUGUACAAUGGGGGCGCACAAAGCGACGCAAGACCGUGAGUGGAGCANAUCGCAAAAGCGUCUCCAGUUCGGAUGGAGUCUGAAUUCGACUCCAUGAGUCGGAUCGCUAGUAUCGCGUAUCAGCAUG